This 387-nucleotide unclassified non-coding RNA is filed under the name soil metagenome. RNAcentral's name for it is "partial contains 5.8S ribosomal RNA, internal transcribed spacer 2, and large subunit ribosomal RNA". The stretch from base 1 to 120 matches the Rfam family "5.8S ribosomal RNA", at positions 35 to 154 of the family's 154-position model. The record is from RNAcentral.
GAUGAAGAACGUAGCGAAAUGCGAUAAGUAGUGUGAAUUGCAGAAUUCAGUGAAUCAUCGAAUCUUUGAACGCACCUUGCGCUCCUUGGUAUUCCGAGGAGCAUGCCUGUUUGAGUGUCAUGAAAUUCUCAACCUUUUCAGCUUUCUUUGUUGAUCAGGCUUGGAUGUGGGAGUAUGCGGGCUUCUCAGAAGUCGGCUCUCCUGAAAUGCAUUAGCGGGACCUUUGUUGCCUGGCUUUGGUGUGAUAAUUAUCUACGCCAUUGUGGUCAAGCAGCUUAAAAUGAGGUUUCAGCUUCUAACCGUCUCCCCUGAGACAACUUUUUGACAAUUUGACCUCAAAUCAGGUAGGACUACCCGCUGAACUUAAGCAUAUCAAUAAGCGGAGGA